Molecule: RNA transcript, 1490 nt
Organism: Equus quagga
Lineage: Eukaryota; Metazoa; Chordata; Mammalia; Perissodactyla; Equidae
Gene: SLC25A26
Gene name: solute carrier family 25 member 26
Exons: 11
Source: RefSeq, a predicted model, not a curated record
CUCUCCCCGGCCCCGCCCCUCUUUCCUGGCGCUCCUUGGGGGUCCAGCGUCCCAGAUUGCACGUGUAGUUGUUGUGGUUCGCCCUCACGUGGCCACGGAAGUGCGGGCGCCACAGGACCCGCCUCCAAGAUGGCGGCCCCCAGUGCAUGGGGCCGUGAUCCUGCUCUGCUCAGCCUCGAAUUAUAUCCCUGACGCGGUCUUCUGGGCCAUGGACCAGCCUGGCUUCACGACCUCGCUGGUGGCUGGUGGGUUAGCAGGUGUCUCUGUUGACUUGAUAUUAUUUCCUCUGGAUACCAUUAAAACCCGGCUGCAGAGUCCCCAAGGAUUUAAUAAGGCUGGUGGUUUUCGUGGAAUAUAUGCUGGCGUUCCUUCUGCUGCUAUUGGAUCCUUUCCUAAUGCUGCUGCCUUUUUUAUCACCUAUGAAUAUGUGAAAUGGUUUUUGCACACUGAUUCAUCUUCAUAUUGGAUGCCUGUAAAGCAUAUGUUGGCUGCCUCUGUUGGAGAAGUGGUUGCCUGCCUGAUUCGAGUUCCUUCUGAAGUAGUUAAGCAGAGGGCACAGGUAUCUGCUUCUUCGAGAACAUUUCAAAUUUUCUCUAACAUCUUAUAUGAAGAGGGCAUCCAAGGAUUGUAUCGGGGCUACAAAAGCACGGUUUUAAGAGAGAUUCCUUUCUCGUUGGUCCAGUUUCCCUUAUGGGAGUCCUUAAAAGCCCUCUGGUCCUGGAGGCAGGAUCAUGUGGUGGAUUCUUGGCAGUCAGCAGUCUGUGGAGCUUUUGCAGGUGGAUUCGCAGCUGUAGUCACCACGCCUUUGGAUGUGGCAAAAACAAGAAUCAUGUUGGCAAAGGCUGGUUCCGUCACGGCUAGUGGGAAUGUCCUCUCUGCCCUGCACGGGGUCUGGCAGACACAAGGGCUGGCAGGAUUGUUUGCAGGUGUUUUCCCUCGAAUGGCAGCAAUCAGUCUGGGAGGUUUCAUCUUUCUUGGUGCUUAUGACCAGACUCGCAGCCUGCUGCUCAGACUCGGCAGAGAGAGCCCGUGAAUCAGACGCCCCACGUCCGUUUCUGUCAAGAAAGGGUACUGCUGUGGGAACUCUCUGCCUUCCGGGAAGUGUCCAGCGGCCCAUGUGGUGUGUGAAAGCAAGCAAGCAGUUGCAGCUCAAGUGACUAGGCGGGCCCAGCUGGCCUCGGGCAGGAGGGCACAGGGGUCCUCUGAGGAAGCUGAGCCAGAGUGCACUCUUCUCGGUUUCAGACUGGAAGGGCGGGCCUGGGCCGCCUUUGGAAAAAGUGGUGUUCUUUUCAUUCCUAAUCAGUAAGGUCUGUAGGCUGGAGUUUUAAGCUCAACAUUGGGAACAGAAGGGAUGGAAUGGGGCAGGUCACCAUUGUAGAGCCUGACAAAUCAGUUCCAGGUGUUAGAAAACUAACUUCAGAGAAAAAUCUCAGGCAUCUAGUGGUGUCAUGUCUUCCCUGAAGCAAUAGUAUAUAUAAUUCUGCUUUGGC